CCGGUGAUGCCGAGAGAGACUGCAGCGCAAACUUGGCGCAUGCAGCGCCGAAGGAGCAACCGCCCCGGAAACUCUCAGGCCAAAGGAUCGGCAUCGCUUU
Molecule: non-coding RNA, 100 nt
Filed under: Comamonas testosteroni
Lineage: Bacteria; Pseudomonadati; Pseudomonadota; Betaproteobacteria; Burkholderiales; Comamonadaceae
Description: Glycine sequence
Rfam family: Glycine riboswitch aptamer
About the family: This family represents the bacterial glycine riboswitch. Glycine riboswitches usually consist of two metabolite-binding aptamers domains with similar structures in tandem.
Source: RNAcentral